RNAcentral lists this ribosomal RNA (498 nucleotides) under uncultured bacterium. RNAcentral's name for it is "partial 16S ribosomal RNA". It matches the Rfam family "Bacterial small subunit ribosomal RNA", at positions 30 to 523 of the family's 1533-position model. The record is from RNAcentral.
AUUGAACGCUGGCGGCAUGCCUUACACAUGCAAGUCGAACGGUAACAGGUCUUCGGAUGCUGACGAGUAGCGAACGGGUGAGUAAUACAUCGGAACGUGCCUAGUAGUGGGGGAUAACUACUCGAAAGAGUGGCUAAUACCGCAUGAGAUCUACGGAUGAAAGCAGGGGAUCGCAAGACCUUGUGCUACUAGAGCGGCCGAUGGCAGAUUGGGUAGUUGGUGGGCUAAAAGCUUACCAAGCCGACGAUCUGUAGCUGGUCUGAGAGGACGAUCAGCCACACUGGGACUGAGACACGGCCCAGACUCCUACGGGAGGCAGCAGUGGGGAAUUUUGGACAAUGGGCGAAAGCCUGAUCCAGCAAUGCCGCGUGCAGGAUGAAGGCCUUCGGGUUGUAAACUGCUUUUGUACGGAACGAAAAGCCCCGGGUUAAUACCCUGGGGUCAUGACGGUACCGUAAGAAUAAGCACCGGCUAACUACGUGCCAGCCGCCGCAGUAA